UCAAUUACCCACUGCUGUUUUCACUGUGAGGUGAGGGAAGAGUGUGAUUUCAUUGCAAUUACAAAGAUCUCUAUGUAUGGUUAUGAACAUUCAUCCAAUCCUUUACUUCAAGAGUGGCCCCCUCCCUCCCAGGAAUUGACUGUGAAUCCACA
Lutra lutra (Eurasian river otter) is the source of this 152-nucleotide long non-coding RNA. RefSeq lists it as uncharacterized. NCBI's taxonomy places the organism in Eukaryota, Metazoa, Chordata, Mammalia, Carnivora, Mustelidae. The record is from RefSeq and is a predicted model, not a curated record. The transcript is spliced from 3 exons.